ACAAAAAAAAAAAAAAUCAUUCUGAGAGGCUUCACACCGGCACUAGCUACAAGAUAUAUAUAUAAAAUCUAAAGCUGACUAUGCGGUAUGGGCUUUGCUCAUUGUUGAAGGCCGCAUAGUAACCUUUAGUUGUUAAUUGCUGUAUCAUUUUGGUCUCUUGUGGAGAAUUGUCUCAUUUGUAACCAUACCAUAUCUUCUAUUUUAUAUAUAAGGAUCAAUCACUAAUUAAAUUGAAAUAGUGAAAUAAUAAUAAUAAUUUGCUUUUAGCAGCAAGUAUGGUUCAAUUUUGUCAAAUUAAGCUAAGAAACAUUGAUGAUGAAUUAUUGUCUUGCAAGUGAAUAAUUUGACCUCAUUGAAUCCGUAUUCAAGUGUACAUCAAUUUAACUGUGCAUGUCUGUUUUUUUAAAGGAAAAGAUUGUCAACAUUGAAAGUGAAACAAAGGUAAAUAAUUUGUUU
RNAcentral lists this long non-coding RNA (456 nucleotides) under Mytilus galloprovincialis (Mediterranean mussel). Lineage: Eukaryota; Metazoa; Mollusca; Bivalvia; Mytilida; Mytilidae. The record is from RNAcentral.